GACGAACGCUGGCGGCGUGCUUAACACAUGCAAGUCGAACGAAGAGCGAUGGAAGCUUGCUUCUAUCAAUCUUAGUGGCGAACGGGUGAGUAACGCGUAAUCAACCUGCCCUUCAGAGGGGGACAACAGUUGGAAACGACUGCUAAUACCGCAUACGAUCUGACCUCGGCAUCGAGGAUAGAUGAAAGGUGGCCUCUAUUUAUAAGCUAUCACUGAAGGAGGGGAUUGCGUCUGAUUAGCUAGUGGGAGGGGUAACGGCCCACCAAGGCGAUGAUCAGUAGCCGGUAUGAGAGGAUGAGCAGCCAGACUGAGAGUGAGACAGGGCCCAGACGGCUAGAGGAGGGAGCAGUAGGGAUACUUGCGCAAUGGACGAAAGACUGAGGGAGCAACGCCGAGUGAGUGAUGAGGGACGUCGGGUUGGGAAGCUCGGUUAUUCGGGACGAAAGGCCUUCUGGCGAAUAGUUAGAAGGAUUGACGGUACUGGGAUAGAAAGCCACGGCUAACUACGUG
This 510-nucleotide ribosomal RNA is filed under the name uncultured bacterium. RNAcentral's name for it is "partial 16S ribosomal RNA". It matches the Rfam family "Bacterial small subunit ribosomal RNA", at positions 28 to 507 of the family's 1533-position model. The record is from RNAcentral.